RNAcentral lists this ribosomal RNA (401 nucleotides) under uncultured bacterium. Its description in RNAcentral is "bacterial SSU rRNA". It matches the Rfam family "Bacterial small subunit ribosomal RNA", at positions 355 to 773 of the family's 1533-position model. The record is from RNAcentral.
UGGGGAAUAUUGGACAAUGGGGGAAACCCUGAUCCAGCAAUGCCGCGUGAGUGAAGAAGGCCUUAGGGUUGUAAAGCUCUUUCGCCCGCGAAGAUAAUGACGGUAGCGGGAGAAGAAGCCCCGGCUAACUCCGUGCCAGCAGCCGCGAUAAUACGGAGGGGGCUAGCGUUGUUCGGAAUUACUGGGCGUAAAGCGUACGUAGGCGGAUGCGCAAGUUGGGGGUGAAAUCCCGGGGCUUAACCUCGGAAUUGCCCUCAAAACUGCACGUCUUGAGACCGAGAGAGGUAAGGGGAAUUCCUAGUGUAGAGGUGAAAUUCGUAGAUAUUAGGAAGAACACCAGUGGCGAAGGCGCCUUACUGGCUCGGUACUGACGCUGAGGUACGAAAGCGUGGGGAGCAAAC